Molecule: ribosomal RNA, 465 nt
Filed under: uncultured bacterium
Lineage: Bacteria
Description: partial 16S ribosomal RNA
Rfam family: Bacterial small subunit ribosomal RNA
Source: RNAcentral
GGGGGGGGGGGGGGGGGGGGGGGGGGCGGGGGGGGGGGGCGGUAGGGGGCGUGCGGGGGGGCGCGAGUGGCGGAGGGGUGAGUAGGACGGGAGUAGCCUGCCCGCCGCUUUUGGAUAACGCUAGGUAACUGGUGCUAAUCCUGGAUAUGUGCUCCUGCUGCAUGGUGGGGGUUGGACAGCUCCGGCGGUUGUGGAUGGACUCGCGGCCUAUCCGCUUGUUGGUGGGGUAUUGGCGUCCCAAGGCGGCGACGGGUAGCCGGCCUGCGCGGGUGACCGGCCACAUUGGGCCUGAGAUACGGCCCAGACUCCUACGGGAGGCAGCAGUGGGGAAUAUUGCACAAUGGGCGCAAGCCUGAUGCAGCAACGCCGCGUGCGGGAUGACGGCCUUCGGGUUGUAAACCGCUUUCAGCAGGGACGAAGCUUUUUGUGACGGUACCUUCAGAAGAAGCACCGGCUAACUACGUG